This is a long non-coding RNA of Diorhabda carinulata, 521 nucleotides long. RefSeq lists it as uncharacterized. The transcript is spliced from 3 exons. Lineage: Eukaryota; Metazoa; Arthropoda; Insecta; Coleoptera; Chrysomelidae. The record is from RefSeq and is a predicted model, not a curated record.
AAUCAAUAUUUCAUAAAUACGCACGGCACUCAUACCAAAUUAAGAAAUGAAAAAUAAUGUUUACUCUCCGUAUAAAAUCCAUCUCCACUUUUACCAAUGAAAACAUCGAAUCUUAAACAUAAAUGCAUUUCUUUUGGACGAAGCUGUCGGAAGGCAUAUGUACAGAAUUUGUUCGAAAUAUUCCUGCCAGAGACAGUCUGCGAUCAGCAUUGGCUUGAUCAUUGAAAACUUCUAGAUGAGUUUGAUGUUGGUAAAUUUUCUACAAUAUAAAAGAGUCAUAAACGUUAUUCGGAACCAUCAAAAAUAGAGAAGGCAUACAAAGAACAUAACAGUAAUACAUAGACACAGGGAACGCCUUAUCCAAAGAAAGUGAACGUCCGGACUGUACUUAGGAAUAAGUCUGUUGCGUUAUGUAUUAAACACUUGAAAAUGUGGGUAACACAACAUUAAUUAAUUCAAAUUAGCACAUCCAAAUUGGUUGCACAUGAUAAUCAUAACUUAAUGAUGGUAUUUGUAUGAAA